UCCGUUGUCUCCAAGUGAGAAUUAUAUUUCAAAUAAACUCCAAAAUUAUAUAGGUAGUGCUCGUAGAUAUACUCAGCAAGUGGAUGUGCACAACUCUGUCUUAUGAUAACACGAGGUUGUAUGUCAUUAGACAUCUUGUAUGGUAGUGAAAAAACACCCUUCCAAAGUUGGGUUCACCUCACCCUAUUCGGUUCACCAAAAUUAAAUAUCAAAUGACGUAUACAAUAC
This 228-nucleotide long non-coding RNA is filed under the name Panax ginseng (ginseng). RNAcentral's name for it is "long non-coding RNA (PGIN_LNC013955)". Lineage: Eukaryota; Viridiplantae; Streptophyta; Magnoliopsida; Apiales; Araliaceae. The record is from RNAcentral.